CCUCAUAUUACCCAAAGGGUCUCCACUCAAUUUGGUAUAUACCUCAUUAUCCUCCAGCUGUCUAUUGCAUUCCGCUACAUACUUGUUGGAAUCCAUUAUCACCCAACUACUGCCCUUAUCUGCGGGUUUGAUGACAAUUUGAUAAUUUUCUUUGAGUCCUUUAAGAGCCAUCCUUUCUUCAAAGGUAAAAUUGAAAUUAUUUUUAUUUAUAUUUAUUUUCUUAAAAUCGUUAAGAACUGCUUUCUCAAAGGCUUCUAUACUACCUUGUCUCGGGUGGCUAGGAUGAAAAUUAAAUCUAUUCUGAAGGGAUUUA
Molecule: non-coding RNA, 313 nt
Organism: Pelobates cultripes (western spadefoot toad)
Lineage: Eukaryota; Metazoa; Chordata; Amphibia; Anura; Pelobatidae
Source: the annotation of a GenBank genome assembly